GAUGAACGCUGGCGGCGUGCCUAAUACAUGCAAGUCGAGCGAACGGACGAGAAGCUUGCUUCUCUGAUGUUAUCGGCGGACGGGUGAGUAACACGUGGAUAACCUACCUAUAAGACUGGGAUAACUUCGGGAAACCGGAGCUAAUACCGGAUAAUAUUUUGAACCGCAUGGUUCAAAAGUGAAAGACGGUCUUGCUGUCACUUAUAGAUGGAUCCGCGGUGCAUUAGCUAGUUGGUAAGGUAACGGCUUACCAAGGCAACGAUGCAUAGCCGACCUGCGAGGGUGAUCGGCCACACUGGAACUGAGACACGGUCCAGACUCCUACGGGAGGCAGCAGUAGGGAAUCUUGCGGAAUGGGCGAAAGCCUGACGGAGCAACGCCGCGUGAGUGAUGAAGGUCUUCGGAUCGUAAAACUCUGUUAUUAGGGAAGAACAUAUGUGUAAGUAACUGUGCACAUCUUGACGGUACCUAAUCAGAAAGCCACGGCUAACUACGUG
RNAcentral lists this ribosomal RNA (497 nucleotides) under uncultured bacterium. Its description in RNAcentral is "partial 16S ribosomal RNA". It matches the Rfam family "Bacterial small subunit ribosomal RNA", at positions 28 to 507 of the family's 1533-position model. The record is from RNAcentral.